This is a long non-coding RNA of Myotis brandtii (Brandt's bat), 443 nucleotides long. RefSeq lists it as uncharacterized. The record is from RefSeq and is a predicted model, not a curated record. NCBI's taxonomy places the organism in Eukaryota, Metazoa, Chordata, Mammalia, Chiroptera, Vespertilionidae. The transcript has 3 exons.
CGGAUCUCUACAAUUCCCCUCUGUCCACCUUCCUUCCAUCUCUUGGGCAGCCUGACAUUUGAUGAGGACAGACUCACAGAAUAAAAAUGUUCCAAAUGGGUGGCUGGAAAAAGUGACAUCAUGGGAAACAAGAAUCAAAUCCAGAGGCCGUGCCUGCUGUCUAUAUUACAAUCAGUAUCCACACUUUAACGCAGGGUGAAAUGGGACUCUGCAAACACCAGAACUGUAGCUCCAGUUGGCCAAAUGUAUUCUACCAAGACCUCAGGAAUUCCCGGCUCCUCUUGUUCCAGCAAGUACGACUUUCUGACCUGCAGGGCAUCCACUAAGGAAGGAGAGAGGAAACAUGACAUCUAAUCAAGAAAUACUGGAACAGUUCAUCUGUUAGAGACUUACAUUUCCUGUGGUUGUUCUGAAGGUAGAACUGAAACCAAUGAGUAAGAAUC